This 76-nucleotide microRNA precursor is filed under the name Acyrthosiphon pisum (pea aphid). RNAcentral's name for it is "mir-971 microRNA precursor family". It matches the Rfam family "mir-971 microRNA precursor family". The record is from Rfam by way of RNAcentral. Lineage: Eukaryota; Metazoa; Arthropoda; Insecta; Hemiptera; Aphididae.
AUGGCCGCCCACUUUAAGUUUGAGCACCAAGCCUCAGGCUUAUUGUUUGGUGUUCAACCUUACAGUGAGCGGACGU